AGCGAACGCUGGCGGCAGGCCUAAUACAUGCAAGUCGAGCGCACCUUCGGGUGAGCGGCGGACGGGUGAGUAACGCGUGGGAACGUGCCCUUUGGUACGGAACAACUGAGGGAAACUUCAGCUAAUACCGUAUGUGCCCUUCGGGGGAAAGGAUUUAUCGCCAUUGGAGCGGCCCGCGUUGGAUUAGCUAGUUGGUGGGGUAAAGACUCACCAAGGCUUCGAUCCAUAGCUGGUCNGAGAGGAUGAUCAGCCACACUGGGACUGAGACACGGCCCAGACUCCUACGGGAGGCAGCAGUAGGGAAUCUUGCGCAAUGGGCGAAAG
This 324-nucleotide ribosomal RNA is filed under the name uncultured bacterium. RNAcentral's name for it is "bacterial SSU rRNA". It matches the Rfam family "Bacterial small subunit ribosomal RNA", at positions 29 to 381 of the family's 1533-position model. The record is from RNAcentral.